Molecule: ribosomal RNA, 1472 nt
Filed under: metagenome
Description: bacterial SSU rRNA
Rfam family: Bacterial small subunit ribosomal RNA
Source: RNAcentral
AGAGUUUGAUCCUGGCUCAGGAUGAACGCUAGCGGCAGGCUUAACACAUGCAAGUCGAGGGGUAUAGGUUUUCGGACCUAGAGACCGGCGCACGGGUGCGUAACGCGUAUGCAAUCUACCUUUUACAGAGGGAUAGCCCAGAGAAAUUUGGAUUAAUACCUCAUAGUAUAGCUGAACCGCAUGGUUCUACUAUUAAAGUCACAACGGUAAAAGAUGAGCAUGCGUCCCAUUAGCUUGUUGGUAAGGUAACGGCUUACCAAGGCUACGAUGGGUAGGGGUCCUGAGAGGGAGAUCCCCCACACUGGUACUGAGACACGGACCAGACUCCUACGGGAGGCAGCAGUGAGGAAUAUUGGUCAAUGGACGCAAGUCUGAACCAGCCAUGCCGCGUGCAGGAUGACGGUCCUAUGGAUUGUAAACUGCUUUUGCACAGGAAGAAACAACUCUACGUGUAGAGUCUUGACGGUACUGUGAGAAUAAGGAUCGGCUAACUCCGUGCCAGCAGCCGCGGUAAUACGGAGGAUCCAAGCGUUAUCCGGAAUCAUUGGGUUUAAAGGGUCCGUAGGCGGUUUAGUAAGUCAGUGGUGAAAGCCCAUCGCUCAACGGUGGAACGGCCAUUGAUACUGCUAGACUUGAAUUAUUAGGAAGUAACUAGAAUAUGUAGUGUAGCGGUGAAAUGCUUAGAGAUUACAUGGAAUACCAAUUGCGAAGGCAGGUUACUACUAAUGGAUUGACGCUGAUGGACGAAAGCGUGGGUAGCGAACAGGAUUAGAUACCCUGGUAGUCCACGCCGUAAACGAUGGAUACUAGCUGUUGGAAGCAAUUUCAGUGGCUAAGCGAAAGUGAUAAGUAUCCCACCUGGGGAGUACGUUCGCAAGAAUGAAACUCAAAGGAAUUGACGGGGGCCCGCACAAGCGGUGGAGCAUGUGGUUUAAUUCGAUGAUACGCGAGGAACCUUACCAAGGCUUAAAUGUAGAUUGACCGGUUUGGAAACAGACUUUUCGCAAGACAAUUUACAAGGUGCUGCAUGGUUGUCGUCAGCUCGUGCCGUGAGGUGUCAGGUUAAGUCCUAUAACGAGCGCAACCCCUGUUGUUAGUUGCCAGCGAGUCAUGUCGGGAACUCUAACAAGACUGCCAGUGUAAACUGUGAGGAAGGUGGGGAUGACGUCAAAUCAUCACGGCCCUUACGCCUUGGGCUACACACGUGCUACAAUGGCCGGUACAGAGAGCAGCCACUGGGCGACCAGGAGCGAAUCUAUAAAACCGGUCACAGUUCGGAUCGGAGUCUGCAACUCGACUCCGUGAAGCUGGAAUCGCUAGUAAUCGGAUAUCAGCCAUGAUCCGGUGAAUACGUUCCCGGGCCUUGUACACACCGCCCGUCAAGCCAUGGAAGCUGGGGGUGCCUGAAGUCGGUGACCGCAAGGAGCUGCAUAGGGCAAAACUGGUAACUAGGGCUAAGUCGUAACAAGGUA